This 216-nucleotide ribosomal RNA is filed under the name Glomeromycotina sp. RNAcentral's name for it is "partial small subunit ribosomal RNA". The stretch from base 40 to 216 matches the Rfam family "Eukaryotic small subunit ribosomal RNA", at positions 686 to 864 of the family's 1831-position model. The record is from RNAcentral. Lineage: Eukaryota; Fungi; Glomeromycota.
GGGUCAGUAGGUUGGUCGUGCCACCGGUACGUACUGGUCUCACUGAUUCCUCCUUCCUGAAGAACCGUAAUGCCAUUAAUUUGGUGUUGCGGGGAAACAGGACUGUUACUUUGAAAAAAUUAGAGCGUUUAAAGCAAGCUAAAGCUUGAAUACAUUAGCAUGGAAUAAUGAAAUAGGACGAUCGAUCCUAUUUUGUUGGUUUCUAGGAUUGACGUA